GGGGGGGGGGGGGGGGGGGGGGGGCGGGUGGGGGGCGGGCGGGGGGGGGGGGCUGGCGCCUGGGUUCAGCGGCGGACGGGUGGGUACUGCCUCGGAAUCUGCCUGGUGGUGGGGGAUCACGUCCGGAAACGGGCGCUACUACCGCAUACGUCCUGAGGGAGACAGUGUGUGAUCUUCGGACCUCACGCUAUCAGAUGAGCCUAGGUCGGAUUAGCUAGUUGGUGGGGUAAAGGCCUACCAAGGCGACGCUCCGUAACUGGUCUGCGAUGAUGAUCAGUCACACGGGAACGGAGACACGGGCCAGACUCCUGCGGGAGGCAGCAGUCGGGAAUAUUGGACAAUGGGCGAAAGCCUGAUCCAGCCAUGCCGCGUGUGUGAAGAAGGGCUUCGGAUUGUAAAGCACUUUAAGUUGGGAGGAAGGGCAGUAAGUUAAUACCUUGCUGUUUUGACGUUACCAACAGAAUAAGCACCGGCUAACUUCGUG
RNAcentral lists this ribosomal RNA (484 nucleotides) under uncultured bacterium. Its description in RNAcentral is "partial 16S ribosomal RNA". It matches the Rfam family "Bacterial small subunit ribosomal RNA", at positions 35 to 507 of the family's 1533-position model. The record is from RNAcentral.